UACGUAGGUGGCAAGCGUUAUCCGGAAUUACUGGGUGUAAAGGGCGCGCAGGCGGCCCUGCAAGUCGGAUGUGAAAGAUCAAGGCUCAACCUUGACAGGCCAUUCGAAACUGUGGGACUUGAGUGUCAGAGGGGAAAGUGGAAUUCCUAGUGGAGCGGUAAAAUGCGCAGAUAUUAGGAGGAACACCGGUGGCGAAGGCGGUUUACUGGGCCACAUCUGACGCUGAUGUACGAAAGCGUGGGGAGCAAAGAGGAUUAGAUACCCGUGUAGU
This 271-nucleotide ribosomal RNA is filed under the name uncultured prokaryote. RNAcentral's name for it is "partial 16S ribosomal RNA". It matches the Rfam family "Bacterial small subunit ribosomal RNA", at positions 524 to 794 of the family's 1533-position model. The record is from RNAcentral.